RNAcentral lists this long non-coding RNA (4906 nucleotides) under Podarcis lilfordi (Lilford's wall lizard). The record is from RNAcentral. Lineage: Eukaryota; Metazoa; Chordata; Lepidosauria; Squamata; Lacertidae.
UGCAAGGAUACCAACUGCAGGUGGAGCCAGAACAAAUGACUGGCAGAGCCUAAGCCAGUGACAGGCAGAGCUAACUAAUUCUGGUUUUGUUCCCACAUAGAGUUCUAUAAAGGCAAAUACUCAGAGUGAAUUGGAAUAGCUCAGAAAUCAAGCUUCUUCACUUCAGAAAAUGUACCCCCAAUACAAGUGUAACCCAGACCUCCUUUGAAGUUCAACCCAGGCUUGUAUUAAUACAAGGGUAAUCCAACCCUCCUACUAAUUGUCCACUCUAUUUCCAAGCAAACUUAACUUUGCAAAGGGGGCAGGUGUUUCCCUGCUCUCCCACCCCCUCUGACUUCCCUCUUCUCCUGCCCCCCUUAAAAUAAAUGAUUGGUUAAGCACUUAAAAGCUGAAUUUGCACAAGAUACAUGCAUAUGAGUUGUGAGUCAACUGUAUUAUUUUUGAUGUGAAGCAACCAGAACUGUGCACAGUAUUCCAAAUGUAACCACACCAUAGAUUUGUAUAAUAAUACAGUGGUACCUCAGGUUGCAUACGCUUCAGGUUACAUAUGCUUCAGGUUACAGACUCCGCUAACCCAGAAAUAGUGCUUCAGGUUAAGAACUUUGCUUCAGGAUGAGAACAGAAAUCAUGCUCCGGUGGCGCGGCAGCAGCAGGAGGCCCCAUUAGCUAAAGUGGUGCUUCAGGUUAAGAACAGUUUCAGGCUAAGAACGGACCUCUGGAACGAAUUAAGUACUUAACCCGAGGUACCACUGUAUUAUGAUACUGGCAGUUUUCUUUUCAAUUCCUUUGCUGAUCAUUCCUAAUAUGGGAUUCACUUUUUUCACCGCUGCUGCACAGUGAAAUGCCCAUUGCAUCCCAAGAGGAAAAGAUGCUCUUGAGCAUGCAUCCUAGUCUCAAAAGUGAAACCUAUAUGGCAUAUCUGUCACUAGGAAGUCCUCCCCUCUUGCAUGAGAAAGCUUGCCUGGUAAGAUAGCAGGCUGGGGUUGGCAGAAAGGAUGGAGGCAACCUCACUGUGACUUGGUUUCUCCAAGGUGUCUGAGAGAAAACUCCAAAAGACCUGAAUUUCCCCCAAUGAUUUUCAAAGAUAAACCCAAUUAAUUACCAGGCAAGUUAUUCUUGCACAAUGAUUCUCAGAACAAUUAAAUUAGCAGAGGAAAGACUGUAGCCUUUUAAAGAAAGGAAUGCUUAAUUCCUGUGUGCUUCUACUAAUGAAGGAUAAAUUGUUUCAAGUUGUUUCUAAGACACUUAAUAAAAAUAGUGGAGAAGUGUGGGAGAAUUAGCCUUGUUUCAAUUUUGAAAUGGCACAGAACCUCCAUGUUCUGAACAUUGCUUGAAUUCCAGUUCUGGUUAAUUCUUUUUCUUUGCCAGUCAGCCUUUUACAAGGCAAGCAAACACUGGUAGCCUGAUCUCAUAAAUGUAUAGCGGGAAACAAAACAAAAACAAUUUUACAGCUAGCUGGGAAGACCACAGAGUCCCCACAGUUCCAGUUGCUGAGUUGAUCUUUAAAGUUUGUGUGAGGUCAAGUGCGAUGCUAGAGCCAAGUAAGCCUUGAAUGCUUCAGGGCCCAGAAAAAGGCCCAUCCAUGGAAUAGUUUCACCUCGUGACAGAUGGAAGUACAGUAAGUGGCAGGUUGAAUUCUUACAGUAUUUCAUAGUUCAUGUUAACUGUCCCCUUGAUAGAAAAAAAGUGCCACUCUUGAAAUGGUAAUGGUGGUUGUCUUGAGACCAGCUUUCAAGCAGGCUGGGCCCUACCAUUUGGUAGGGUGAGACAACCGCCUCAUACACAGCAGAUGAAGGGAGCGGGGACAGUGAUGGACAGCUUCCGUUCUUCUAUGAGGGUAUAGAACUUUCUGGGCCACAUGCCGUUUCCUCUGCCCACCUAGCUAGAUUUCUGCUUUUAGAUACUAUCCUGUUGCCAGCACAGUGGUACCUCGGGUUAAAAACUUAAUUCAUUCUGGAGGUCCAUUCUUAACCUGAAACUGUUCUUAACCUGAGGUACCACUUUAGCUCUUGGGGCCUCCCGCUGCCACCGCACGAUUUCUGUUCUCAUUUUGAAGCAAAGUUCUUAAUCCAAGGUACUAUUUCUGGGUGGAGUCUGUAACCUGAAGCGUCUGUAUCCCGAGGUACCACUGUAUUGAAAUAAGGACCAAGGACCAGCUGUUGGUGCAAUCAGCUUCUGCGUUUGGAAUGGUGAAGGCACCAGCUUAUCCUUUCCUUUGGGUUGCAAAAUGCCUUGGACCAUUUUCAGCUCCUCAAAGGAGAUAGAGGUGGCUCUUAGAAAGAGAUACAAGGGAGAAAAAUACAUCCUAGCAAAGCAUCCUUGACACCAGUGGGGUGAAAUGCAAGUUGGAGAAUUAACACUAAACACAUUGUUCCUUUUCAAAGAUAAAAAUGGAAUCCUUGGAAAGAGGAACUAGAAGAGAGAAAGGAGCCAACUUCACCAGACACAAUGCUUGUUUUGCAAGCGUACAAUGAGAAGCAUCUCUAGGAUGCAAUAAAUGUGCAUUAAGCUUUUUAUGGUGGAUUUUCUACCCACUGGUGAGUUCUUCUGUCAGUCCUAGGCUCUGUGGUUUAAGCCACAGUGCCACCCGCGUCCCUCCGAGAACCCAAUUAGGACCUGCCUAAAGGGACUCCAACAGGUGUGAAGCUGGUUGGAGGAACAAUGCAAUAGCAUUUUAUAACAAAGCACAGAAUACAUAUGCAUUUGGAAUAACAUUGUAUGAACAGGGAUGGAAAAACCCAGCACUGGAAAUGCAGCGAGUGCAAAGUAAAAGGGAAUGUGAACAUAGCCUUACAUUCCCAAGCAGGAAGAAAAACAGGAGAGCUCUUGUAACUGAAUGACAUUGACUUGGGUAACCAGUAGGGGUGUUGCUAAGUACAUUAGGAAUAGGUCCCUGAGGCAGCUUAGAUACAUUUAUGGAGUGCCUCUGGGCAAAUUCAGAUGGUAGGUGGCUAGAAUUGCACUUUGCAGAAUGCCCAAAGCGUAAGCAAAUUUAUAUAUAAAAACAGAAAUAAAAAAUGUUUGGGGCUCCUUGGGCCAUCCCUUGAGAAUGCCCUGAUGACCAGCUGAACAGGCCUGAUUCAUGUUAAACUUGCUGCUCAUUUCUUUUGUAGCAAACAGAAUUAUUUCCCAAUCAUUUCUGUGCAACUUGGGAAGAAAAUCUCCUCUAACCACCUUCCACUCUCUUAAAAAUUAUUGACUGUCUCCAGCCCUUUGCAGAGCUCUGAGCACUGUAAUUAGGAACAGGACAGAAGAUUAUAUGCAUUCCAAUGAUGUGUCAUGAGAACAUGUAUUUUGGGUGGAGGCAGCUAUGUGGAGUGAAAAAUCUGUGUAAUGAGAAGAAACCAAAAGGGAAUAAACCAGAUGAAAACCUGCAAGCUCUAUACAUUUUUGGACAUUUACACACAGGCCACUGUUAUGCAUUACACCCGCCUAGCUUCAACCUGGACAAUAUUUAAAAGGCAAUAAAUUACAUGAAAGCAAGUGGACUGGCAGUCAAACUUUAAAGGGAGUGUGAUUAAUAAAUACAUCAGACACACUUCCCAGAAAGUCAGGCACUGCACUGAAACCCAUUAUCACACACUCAAGUCCUCACUUACUCACUUCAGUGGUGCUGGAGCAUCUUAAAACAUCACCACAAUGGAGGCUGCUUGUCAGUAGCAUUGGCCCACCCUGAUGUGUUAACUUUGCAAGCAAGUGAGUGGGACCCUGCAGGCCAAGUGGGUGGCAGCCAUGUAGAAGAGACCCAUUUGAUUGGUUGCCUCAUAUGUGUGGUCCAGUUGCCAUUGGUUAGUGGAGUGGCACGCUGCAGCAAAUGAGGCUUCUCUGCCACAGGAGUAGCAUAUAUAUAGAUUUUCAUCCAUCUCAUUUUACUGAAUGUAUACAAGCAUUUGCAGGAUGGAAAUGGGGCUGGGAGAUGCAGUGUGUCAAAUCUUUUCUGUCCUCACCCCAACCUUACAAUGCCUAAGAUAAUAAGUUACACCAAAUGUAACUGACCUGUAGGUAGGACUCAUGAACAGAAAACAAAUGCAUCAUAUGUACCUUUGUUACCCAUGAAAAUCUUUCAAUAAAAAACUAUUUUAAAAAAUCCUUUCCAGUUUUCCCAGUAUGGAAGAAGUAAUGCAUUGUUCCCAGGGCCCAUUUGGCCUCAUCCUUCCCAUUCCUUUUAUGAGAACAAAAAAGGGGGAGGGACUCAAAUGCUAUUAUUUAUUAAAUUUACACCCCAUCCUACCUUCCAAAGGAGCCCAGGGUGGCAAAUUUCUCUGCAUGAGAAUUAUGUCUAGUUACUGUUCAGUAGAUGAAAAAUGGUGCAACAGUUGUCAAGGACCAUGCUUGGUACUUGGUGAUCAAGUAAUCUUUGUAUUAAAAAAGCUAUGACAAUGGUUAAGCAGUAUUGUGUGCUACAACACACCUACCAGCCAGGAAGAGGCUGAGAACAAUGGGAGGGGGGCAGAGAGAGAUCCAAAAAGAAGCUGCAAUGUGAUGGGUUAGCUCUAUCAUCCAAAAACAGACCAAGGUUGCAAUCCUAAUCCCACUUACCUGGGAGUAAGCCCCAUUGAAUUCAGUAGGAUUUACUUCUGAGUAGAUGUAGUUAAUAUUGUGCAGCAAAAUCCGUAGCACUAUCGAGAAAGUGGAGGGGGCAUGUAAUACUGCUACUGUAUUUGAUUUCCAUUGUUGUGGUGGCAAACAUAGCUGCAAAAUUAAGACUUGCCUUUUCAUUUUCGGCUCAGCUUUAUCUCUGGAAUUGAAAAAGCAGUGAAAAGGAGCCUUUGCUGUGUUUCCCAGGUUCAUUACUGGCUCCCUCCAGCUAUUGGAAAACAAACGAAGUAGAAAGCAAGCCAAAGGACAGCCCUGGAGGCAGUUCCCCGGACAGACAGAAACAGCCCAGAAGCUACAAAUAAUCCCA